This 1473-nucleotide ribosomal RNA is filed under the name Salmonella enterica subsp. enterica serovar Thompson. Its description in RNAcentral is "partial 23S ribosomal RNA". It matches the Rfam family "Bacterial large subunit ribosomal RNA", at positions 711 to 2164 of the family's 2925-position model. The record is from RNAcentral. RNAcentral also lists the same sequence under 1 other name. Lineage: Bacteria; Pseudomonadati; Pseudomonadota; Gammaproteobacteria; Enterobacterales; Enterobacteriaceae.
AGACCCGAAACCCGGUGAUCUAGCCAUGGGCAGGUUGAAGGUUGGGUAACACUAACUGGAGGACCGAACCGACUAAUGUUGAAAAAUUAGCGGAUGACCUGUGGCUGGGGGUGAAAGGCCAAUCAAACCGGGAGAUAGCUGGUUCUCCCCGAAAGCUAUUUAGGUAGCGCCUCGUGAAUUCAUCUCCGGGGGUAGAGCACUGUUUCGGCUAGGGGGCCAUCCCGGCUUACCAACCCGAUGCAAACUGCGAAUACCGGAGAAUGUUAUCACGGGAGACACACGGCGGGUGCUAACGUCCGUCGUGAAGAGGGAAACAACCCAGACCGCCAGCUAAGGUCCCAAAGUCAUGGUUAAGUGGGAAACGAUGUGGGAAGGCCCAGACAGCCAGGAUGUUGGCUUAGAAGCAGCCAUCAUUUAAAGAAAGCGUAAUAGCUCACUGGUCGAGUCGGCCUGCGCGGAAGAUGUAACGGGGCUAAACCAUGCACCGAAGCUGCGGCAGCGACACUCAGGUGUUGUUGGGUAGGGGAGCGUUCUGUAAGCCUGUGAAGGUGUGUCGUGAGGCAUGCUGGAGGUAUCAGAAGUGCGAAUGCUGACAUAAGUAACGAUAAAGCGGGUGAAAAGCCCGCUCGCCGGAAGACCAAGGGUUCCUGUCCAACGUUAAUCGGGGCAGGGUGAGUCGACCCCUAAGGCGAGGCCGAAAGGCGUAGUCGAUGGGAAACGGGUUAAUAUUCCCGUACUUGGUGUUACUGCGAAGGGGGGACGGAGAAGGCUAUGUUGGCCGGGCGACGGUUGUCCCGGUUUAAGCGUGUAGGUGUGUGUUCCAGGUAAAUCCGGUUCACUUUAACACUGAGGCGUGAUGACGAGGCACUACGGUGCUGAAGCAACAAAUGCCCUGCUUCCAGGAAAAGCCUCUAAGCAUCAGGUAACAUCAAAUCGUACCCCAAACCGACACAGGUGGUCAGGUAGAGAAUACCAAGGCGCUUGAGAGAACUCGGGUGAAGGAACUAGGCAAAAUGGUGCCGUAACUUCGGGAGAAGGCACGCUGACACGUAGGUGAAGUGAUUUACUCAUGGAGCUGAAGUCAGUCGAAGAUACCAGCUGGCUGCAACUGUUUAUUAAAAACACAGCACUGUGCAAACACGAAAGUGGACGUAUACGGUGUGACGCCUGCCCGGUGCCGGAAGGUUAAUUGAUGGGGUCAGCGCAAGCGAAGCUCCUGAUCGAAGCCCCGGUAAACGGCGGCCGUAACUAUAACGGUCCUAAGGUAGCGAAAUUCCUUGUCGGGUAAGUUCCGACCUGCACGAAUGGCGUAAUGAUGGCCAGGCUGUCUCCACCCGAGACUCAGUGAAAUUGAACUCGCUGUGAAGAUGCAGUGUACCCGCGGCAAGACGGAAAGACCCCGUGAACCUUUACUAUAGCUUGACACUGAACAUUGAGCCUUGAUGUGUAGGAUAGGUGGGAGGCUUUGAAGCG